GGAGAAGGGAGCUGAGCUAAUUCUGAAGGUCAUUGUGUCUGGCAUCCAGAGUCUGACGUUCAAGGGUUGGUCACGUGUGAAGCUGACUUCGAUGGGCGCAGUUCUUCAUGAUAUGGAGGAAUGACAAGCAGCCCUCCGAGUGACUGGCCAUGAUAGUGGUGGCAGCAAGAAAAUUGUUUCCAGAUCUAAGACUUCAUUACUCCAGAGGGU
Meriones unguiculatus (Mongolian gerbil) is the source of this 210-nucleotide long non-coding RNA. RefSeq lists it as uncharacterized. NCBI's taxonomy places the organism in Eukaryota, Metazoa, Chordata, Mammalia, Rodentia, Muridae. The record is from RefSeq and is a predicted model, not a curated record. The transcript has 3 exons.